Molecule: long non-coding RNA, 1124 nt
Filed under: Arachis ipaensis
Lineage: Eukaryota; Viridiplantae; Streptophyta; Magnoliopsida; Fabales; Fabaceae
Description: long non-coding RNA (AIPA_LNC000652)
Source: RNAcentral
AUAACAACAACAUAAUAGAUUAAAAAACAUCAUCAACAAUCACAAACCAUAGUAAUAAGAACAAUAAUUGAAGAGGAAAAAAUCACAUAUUAACAAUCAUAAACCAAUUAAAACAACAAUUACAAUAAAAAAUACUUCUAGAGCACAGAGGUGAGGGAGCACGACAGAAGGAUGGACGCAGCAAAACUGGAGAAGAGAUGGCCUAUACCACCACAGAACUAGAGAAGAGGUGGCCUGGUCUGUCGUAGAACUGGAGCCGAGGAGGGUGGUGCACGGAAAAACUAGAGUAGAUAAGGGUGGGGCGCAGCGGAAUUUGGAGCAGAGGAGGGUGUAGCGUGGCGGAACUAGAGCAGAGAAGGGCUAGAGCACAGCAAAACAAAGCCGACACGGCGAAACAAUGGCUACGUGACAGAGGAAUGAUGCGAGCCAAGAUAUAGUGGGAACGGCGACUUCGAGCAGUGGCGGAGACAAGUGUAAUGGGGAUGCCAACUUCGAGUAGUUGCGAUGGUAGCUGGACAGAGCAAGUGAUGGGAUUUUUCUAUUGUUGAGGAGCUCGAGAGGAUGGAAAUGCUGAAGUGCUGAACUGCUAAGCUUAGGGCUACCUUUUAACUAAUCUCAGGCUAUUGGACGGCAUCGUUGCCUUUUCAAAUCUAAAAAUUGGCCAGGUCCUGGUUCGGUUUGGCCAGGCGGUUCUUGACCGAUUCAGCGAUCCAAAAGCAACUUUUAGAGCAGCAAUUUUUCUUGAUUAACCGAACUGUAGAUGAUUCCAGUUUUCGGUCGGACCGGUCCAAAUAAUAAUGAAGAAAAGGAAAGAUAGAGAUAUGAUUUAGGAGGCUAUCCCUAUAUGGAAUCUUGUUCUAUACAAAUUCCUAAAUGACUCCUCUCUAACACUUUAUUUUCUUUCUUCUAAUAAAAUUGUUCAUGUCUCAUGGAUUCUUUCCACUCUUCUACCAGUUGUCCUAUUGUUAUAUAGUUGGUUUCACUUGAUUCUUUCCCUCGUUACUCUUUCUUACGCCUCCUGCUGUAAAUAAAACACACUGAAGAAGAGAGAACUUGGAGCAUAGAAUGAGUGGCUGAAUUAUUGAGUUCCACUCACAACACAGUGCAAAAUAAAGAAGAGACGG